CCCUUAUAGUUUGAUCCUGGCUCAAGACGAACCGCUGGCGGCGCGCCUAACACAUGCAAGUCGAACGAGCGAGAGAGAGCUUGCUUUCUCGAGCGAGUGGCGAACGGGUGAGUAACGCGUGAGGAACCUGCCUCAAAGAGGGGGACAACAGUUGGAAACGACUGCUAAUACCGCAUAAGCCCACGGCUCGGCAUCGAGCAGAGGGAAAAGGAGCAAUCCGCUUUGAGAUGGCCUCGCGUCCGAUUAGCUAGUUGGUGAGGUAAUGGCCCACCAAGGCAACGAUCGGUAGCCGGACUGAGAGGUUGAACGGCCACAUUGGGACUGAGACACGGCCCAGACUCCUACGGGAGGCAGCAGUGGGGAAUAUUGCACAAUGGGGGAAACCCUGAUGCAGCGACGCCGCGUGGAGGAAGAAGGUCUUCGGAUUGUAAACUCCUGUUGUUGAGGAAGAUAAUGACGGUACUCAACAAGGAAGUGACGGCUAACUACGUGCCAGCAGCCGCGGUAAAACGUAGGUCACAAGCGUUGUCCGGAAUUACUGGGUGUAAAGGGAGCGCAGGCGGGAAGACAAGUUGGAAGUGAAAUCUAUGGGCUCAACCCAUAAACUGCUUUCAAAACUGUUUUUCUUGAGUAGUGCAGAGGUAGGCGGAAUUCCCGGUGUAGCGGUGGAAUGCGUAGAUAUCGGGAGGAACACCAGUGGCGAAGGCGGCCUACUGGGCACCAACUGACGCUGAGGCUCGAAAGUGUGGGUAGCAAACAGGAUUAGAUACCCUGGUAGUCCACACCGUAAACGAUGAUUACUAGGUGUUGGAGGAUUGACCCCUUCAGUGCCGCAGUUAACACAAUAAGUAAUCCACCUGGGGAGUACGACCGCAAGGUUGAAACUCAAAGGAAUUGACGGGGGCCCGCACAAGCAGUGGAGUAUGUGGUUUAAUUCGACGCAACGCGAAGAACCUUACCAAGUCUUGACAUCCCUUGACGAACAUAGAAAUAUGUUUUCUCUUCGGAGCAAGGAGACAGGUGGUGCAUGGUUGUCGUCAGCUCGUGUCGUGAGAUGUUGGGUUAAGUCCCGCAACGAGCGCAACCCUUACUGUCAGUUACUACGCAAGAGGACUCUGGCAGGACUGCCGUUGACAAAACGGAGGAAGGUGGGGAUGACGCCAAAUCAUCAUGCCCUUUAUGACUUGGGCUACACACGUACUACGAUGGCGUUAAACAAAGAGAAGCAAGACCGCGAGGUGGAGCAAAACUCAGAAACAACGUCCCAGUUCGGACUGCAGGCUGCAACUCGCCUGCACGAAGUCGGAAUUGCUAGUAAUCGUGGAUCAGCAUGCCACGGUGAAUACGUUCCCGGGCCUUGC
RNAcentral lists this ribosomal RNA (1361 nucleotides) under uncultured bacterium. RNAcentral's name for it is "bacterial SSU rRNA". It matches the Rfam family "Bacterial small subunit ribosomal RNA". The record is from RNAcentral.